GGGAAUGGGCUUGCAGCCUAUGACGUUGAAAGAUAUCAUGGUGGAAACCCAACCUAGCUGAAUGGUGAUCCCAGGAUCUAGGUUCAAAGGGACAACUAAAUCAUGUAUAUCUGUGUGAAUCACUGAGAAGGUUCUCCUUCUGCUCAUUCCUAUGGUGCUCACAGUGAUUGGAAGAUGCAGGUUAAGCUAUGCUUUUAAUGACCAUUAAUCGUUGUUGUGAAAGACUGAGUUAAGAGGUCACCUAUGUGAGUGUGAAGUGGGGCCGCUUCUAUAAGGGUUG
This 280-nucleotide long non-coding RNA is filed under the name Olea europaea (common olive). RNAcentral describes it as "long non-coding RNA (OEUR_LNC010485)". Lineage: Eukaryota; Viridiplantae; Streptophyta; Magnoliopsida; Lamiales; Oleaceae. The record is from RNAcentral.